Long non-coding RNA from Gigantopelta aegis, 355 nucleotides. RefSeq lists it as uncharacterized. Lineage: Eukaryota; Metazoa; Mollusca; Gastropoda; Neomphalida; Peltospiridae. The transcript is spliced from 3 exons. The record is from RefSeq and is a predicted model, not a curated record.
UAUUUAACGUGUACAAAAACUCCAUUAAAUUACUUAGUAUGUAUAAAUUAUCAAAUUUUAAAGAUGUGGUGCAGCUGCCCCAACGGUAGCUAGAAGGCCUACUGUUCUACAGUGUGGAUAUCAGUAUUAUCACCAAGACAGGAAAAUGAAGACCAUUCUGUUUCUAGCAAUAUUUGCCGUCAUGUAUUCACAUACAGUUGGCAUUGGUGAUCCUUGUUCAGACUGUCAAACCACUUACACUAAUGGUGGCAAAACCUGCACGUAAGAUUACGUCUUUUAUCAUCCAUUAAAGGCUUUUGUAAGAGAUAUCGCUGGCACUAUAAAUUGCAAUAUCUCCUGCGAUAUCUCCGCAAUA